CGCUUCUUUUUCCACCGGAGCUUGCUCCACCAGAAAAAGAGGAGUGGCGAACGGGUGAGUAACACGUGGGUAACCUGCCCAUCAGAAGGGGAUGACACUUGGAAACAGGUGCUAAUACCGUAUAACAAUCGAAACCGCAUGGUUUUGAUUUGAAAGGCGCUUUCGGGUGUCGCUGAUGGAUGGACCCGCGGUGCAUUAGCUAGUUGGUGAGGUAACGGCUCACCAAGGCCACGAUGCAUAGCCGACCUGAGAGGGUGAUCGGCCACAUUGGGACUGAGACACGGCCCAAACUCCUACGGGAGGCAGCAGUAGGGAAUCUUCGGCAAUGGACGAAAGUCUGACCGAGCAACGCCGCGUGAGUGAAGAAGGUUUUCGGAUCGUAAAACUCUGUUGUUAGAGAAGAACAAGGAUGAGAGUAACUGUUCAUCCCUUGACGGUAUCUAACCAGAAAGCCACGGCUAACUACGUGCCAGCAGCCGCGGUAAUACGUAGGUGGCAAGCGUUGUCCGGAUUUAUUGGGCGUAAAGCGAGCGCAGGCGGUUUCUUAAGUCUGAUGUGAAAGCCCCCGGCUCAACCGGGGAGGGUCAUUGGAAACUGGGAGACUUGAGUGCAGAAGAGGAGAGUGGAAUUCCAUGUGUAGCGGUGAAAUGCGUAGA
RNAcentral lists this ribosomal RNA (656 nucleotides) under uncultured Bacilli bacterium. RNAcentral describes it as "bacterial SSU rRNA". It matches the Rfam family "Bacterial small subunit ribosomal RNA", at positions 67 to 694 of the family's 1533-position model. Lineage: Bacteria; Bacillati; Bacillota; Bacilli. The record is from RNAcentral.